AUUGAACGCUGGCGGCAGGCCUAGCACAUGCAAGUCGAACGGUAACAGGAAGAAGCUUGCUUCUUUGCUGACGAGUGGCGGACGGGUGAGUAAUGUCUGGGAAACUGCCUGAUGGAGGGGGAUAACUACUGGAAACGGUAGCUAAUACCGCAUAACGUCGCAAGACCAAAAAGGGGGGCCUUCGGGCCUCUUGCCAUCGGAUGUGCCCAGAUGGGAUUAGCUAGUAGGUGGGGUAACGGCUCACCUAGGCGACGAUCCCUAGCUGGUCUGAGAGGAUGACCAGCCACACUGGAACUGAGACACGGUCCAGACUCCUACGGGAGGCAGCAGUGGGGAAUAUUGCACAAUGGGCGCAAGCCUGAUGCAGCCAUGCCGCGUGUAUGAAGAAGGCCUUCGGGUUGUAAAGUACUUUCAGCGGGGAGGAAGGGAGUAAAGUUAAUACCUUUGCUCAUUGACGUUACCCGCAGAAGAAGCACCGGCUAACUCCGUG
This 490-nucleotide ribosomal RNA is filed under the name uncultured bacterium. RNAcentral describes it as "partial 16S ribosomal RNA". It matches the Rfam family "Bacterial small subunit ribosomal RNA", at positions 30 to 507 of the family's 1533-position model. The record is from RNAcentral.